Molecule: long non-coding RNA, 2568 nt
Filed under: Sarcophilus harrisii (Tasmanian devil)
Lineage: Eukaryota; Metazoa; Chordata; Mammalia; Dasyuromorphia; Dasyuridae
Description: lncRNA (ENSSHAG00000029958.1)
Source: RNAcentral
AAAGAUCAAAACAUAAAAUCAAACGAAAAUAAUGAUGACAGAACAUCGACAUUAAAGCCUCAGAUUGAUGUAUGCAUGAAUUGGUCUCCGGCUUAGCUUCUGAAACAAACCUUCUGAAAGGACUCCAAAGGGAUGUUUAAAAUGUGUAAGAGAAGGAGAAGAAAAAUGUGCAGGAGAAAUGAGAGAUAUUAACAAGGAAAGUUAACAUUUGGUUAAAUGAAGCACAAACACUUGGACAGACAUGUACCAAACUUCAGUGAAGAAAACAACCUUACAAAGUAGAAUUUGCCAGAUGGAAAAGGAGGAACAAAAAUCCAUUGAAGAAAACAACUCCUGGGGAAGAAUGUGGGAAGAUGCCAGAGUAGGGAAGAACAUUCAGAAACAAAAAAAAAAAAAAUUGAACCUCUGAGCUCAUGUAGACAAGUGAGCAACGCAUAAAACUUUGAGCAGAAUAAGGGUUUCCUAGGACAACCAGAGAAGUCCAGAAAAAAGACCCCACUUUGGAGGAGUGACCAGUUAAAACAUCUCCAGGCCAGCUCCCCUGAAAGAACCAGGGAGCCCUGGGGCUUGCUGGGUUCCAGGUGGCCUCAGCCCCAAUCAAGGGGACUUUUCCCUCCUGGGACAGUACUUGGGGAUCUGAGGCCAGGAAGACUGAUAAGGAAGUCCUGGAAUAUCUGCUGAUAAGGAAUGUCAUGCUCAGCUGUGCUGUUAGGAGAGCAGGGAAAAGCACAUGCCCAGUGAGGGCAGAAGCAGAGGCACAGGGUAGCUGCUGGCUGUCUUACAGGAGGGUGGAGUUCUUGGUUUUUGAGUUCCAAGUCAGAGGGUAAAACUGAAAGAAGAUCCAGAGACAGAGGCACCAUCUCCCCCUCUCAGAUCUAGGUGAUGACACAAUUACUUUCUUAUUUUCAAAAAAAGAGCAACGGGGGCAGCUAGGUGACACAGUGGUUAGAGCACCAGCCCUGAAGUCACUGAGGACCUGAGUUCAAAUGUGGCCUCAGACACCCAACCUUCCCAGCUGUGUGACCCUGGGCAAGUCAUGUAACCCCAAUUGCCUCAGGGGGAAAAAAAGAGCAAGCAUAGGGGAAAGAAUCCAACUUCAGAUAGAGGAAACACUGGGAUUUAUCAAUAGAGGGGGGUACCGAAGGAGAAAAGCUUCCCUUACUCCAAAGAGUUAUGGUAAAUGUCUACUGUCCAGAAAGACUUUGCAGAAGAACUCAAAGAAGACUUUAAAAAUCAAAUGAGAGAGAUUGAGGAAAAACUAAAAAAAAAAAAAACAAAACAAAACAAGAAUCCAACCAAAUCCAGAGGAUUAUGGAAAGAAAGUCAACCAACUCGAAGAGGAGAUCCAGAGUUCUCAAGAAGAAAGUGACUCUUUGAAGGUUAGAACUGGCAAGGGGAAGCCAGUGAAAUUAGGAGAGACCAAGAAAUAAUAAAACAAACUAUUGCCAUGAUGUAGGAAAUGACCAGAUGGUAGAUUUACAAAAAAUAUAAAAAGAUUUGAACUCAUGAGGGAUGAUGUUCUCUACUUUCAGAGAAACCGAUCAAACAAGCAUACUACAAUCUUACAUAGACGCAUAUAAAUAUAUAUGUCUAGGUAUAUGUAUUUGCAUACUUAUACAAAGGUAUCUAUGUAUCCACGUACAUGUAUGCAUGGAUUUAUGUACAAAUAUAUCAGAAUUUAAUUGUAGCCAUCUUGUGGGAUGUUGUGGGGGCAAAAAUGGGAAAAAAUAAAAAUGUAAAAAGUGCAAAGCAGAGAACAAAAGUGAACCUAAGAGGAAGCAAAAAAUAGAUGGACAGUUCUGAAUAAAACAUGUACUGUUAAAUACAUGAUUGUUUGAACUAGAAAUCUAUUAUUUUAUAUUUUAAAUCCUCUCACAUUCUUUUGUGCAUAUGACAAUGUUUUUCUAUUGUUUUGUUUUUCUUUUUCUAUAUUUAAUUUGUUUAAAUAAAUGAAUAAAUAUGUAAAAAAAAAAGAAGUAAUAGAGUAGUGUUUUUGUGGAAUGAUUUAGGUAUAGAAGACACAGUAUUAAAUGUGCAUAAUAUUUUACUGUUUGAGAAAUACAGAAAUCCCAUCUUUUUGGAAAAAUAAUUUUACUAUAUACAAAAACUUCCGGGGAAAACUUAAAAACAGUAUAGCAGAAACUAGGUAUAGUUCAUCCCCUUACAGCAUGUGCCACUUGUUUGUCCAAAGGAAUAGUUAUUUGGUCCCAUCAACCUCACAGCAUGUCUUUGAGUCUGGAGGCUAGAUAUUUUGGUCUCGUGGCCACUUAGUUAUUUUAUAUUUUCAAAACAAACUGCGAUAUUGAACACUUCUGUUCCAUCCAGUUCGUGUAGGAUUUCUUAGAAAAACCAGACUUUGAUGAAGUCCAUUGGAAUUCAGAAGGAGCUACUUGACAAAUCCUGGAACCCAAAUCAUUCUGGGUUUCACUGAGUGUUCAAUAGUAGAUGCUAGCUUAAGCCCCACUUGGUCAUUAUUUGAGUUUUAUGGCCCCGACUGAGUGUAAAUGGCAGUUGUUUCUUCUGGGCAGAAACAAUGAGGUUCUUCCCUUCCCACAUUGUUAUUUUUAU